CUGCUCGCUUCGGCAGCACAUAUACUAAAAAUUGGAACGAAACAGAGAUUAGCAUGUCCCCUGCGCAAGGAUGACGCAAAUUCGUGAAGUGAUCCAUAUUAAA
Small nuclear RNA from Saimiri boliviensis boliviensis (Bolivian squirrel monkey), 103 nucleotides. NCBI's taxonomy places the organism in Eukaryota, Metazoa, Chordata, Mammalia, Primates, Cebidae. The record is from RefSeq and is a predicted model, not a curated record.